GUGAGUCAUCGAAUCUUUGAACGCACAUUGCGCCCCUUGGUAUUCCGAGGGGCAUACCUGUUCGAGCGUCAUUACAACACUCAAGCCUAGCUUGGUAUUGGGCUCCGCUGCUUACCCAGCGCGCCUUAAAAUUAGUGGCGGUGCCGUCGGGCUCCUGAGCGCAGUAAAAACCUCGCUAUAGGGACCGGUGAACAUUUGCCAGAAACCCCAACUUUUUUAGUUUGACCUCGGAUCAGGUAGGGCUACCCGCUGAACUUAAGCAUAUCAAUAAGCGGAGGA
Molecule: unclassified non-coding RNA, 279 nt
Filed under: Hyaloscyphaceae sp.
Lineage: Eukaryota; Fungi; Ascomycota; Leotiomycetes; Helotiales; Hyaloscyphaceae
Description: partial contains 5.8S ribosomal RNA, internal transcribed spacer 2, and large subunit ribosomal RNA
Rfam family: 5.8S ribosomal RNA (bases 1-71)
Source: RNAcentral